RNAcentral lists this ribosomal RNA (305 nucleotides) under uncultured bacterium. Its description in RNAcentral is "partial 16S ribosomal RNA". It matches the Rfam family "Bacterial small subunit ribosomal RNA", at positions 334 to 654 of the family's 1533-position model. The record is from RNAcentral.
UUUUCCUACGGGGGGCAGCAGUGGGGGAUAUUGGACAAUGGGGGGAACCCUGAUCCAGCGACGCCGCGUGAGUGAAGAAGUAUCUCGGUAUGUAAAGCUCUAUCAGCAGGGAAGAAGAAAUGACGGUACCUGAGUAAGAAGCCCCGGCUAACUACGUGCCAGCAGCCGCGGUAAUACGUAGGGGGCAAGCGUUAUCCGGAAUUACUGGGUGUAAAGGGAGCGUAGACGGUGAUGUAAGUCUGGAGUGAAAGGCGGGGGCCCAACCCCCGGACUGCUCUGGAAACUAUGUGACUGGAGUGCCGGAG